This 337-nucleotide unclassified non-coding RNA is filed under the name uncultured fungus. Its description in RNAcentral is "partial contains small subunit ribosomal RNA, internal transcribed spacer 1, and 5.8S ribosomal RNA". The stretch from base 1 to 73 matches the Rfam family "Eukaryotic small subunit ribosomal RNA", at positions 1759 to 1831 of the family's 1831-position model. Lineage: Eukaryota; Fungi. The record is from RNAcentral.
ACAAACUUGGUCAUUUAGAGGAAGUAAAAGUCGUAACAAGGUUUCCGUAGGUGAACCUGCGGAAGGAUCAUUAGUGAAUAAACUCGGUCAAGCUGUUGCUGGUUCUUAGGGACAUGUGCACGUUUGACUCUUGUUUUCAACCACCUGUGCACCUUUUGUAGACUUGGAGUUUUGGGGAAUCGAAAUUUGCUUCCCCAGUAUUUCUCCAGUCUAUGUCUCUUUUAUAUACCCUUAAAAUGUAAAGAAUGUGUGUUAGGCUCUUUUAUAAAGGCCUAUAAAACUAUAUACAACUUUCAACAACGGAUCUCUUGGCUCUCGCAUCGAUGAAGAACGCAGC